Molecule: non-coding RNA, 599 nt
Filed under: Pongo abelii (Sumatran orangutan)
Lineage: Eukaryota; Metazoa; Chordata; Mammalia; Primates; Hominidae
Source: RNAcentral
AUUGUGGGCAGGGCCGUGGGAGAGUUGAGCGAGGAGAAGCUGUAGGAAGAGCUCGCGGACUCUUGAGAAACAGCAGGGGAAGUCUCCCGCAAUGACUUCAUAACCAAGUUCUGGGUCCCUGCCUCUGGAGUGCCUGAUGAGACAAAACGGCUCCUCGUCCUGCAUCCCCGCUGCUACUUCCAGAAUUCAGGCCUCGUGGUCUGGAGCCUGCACUGUUCCAUGAGCCUCCUGACCAACCUGGAGGCCUCUGUCUUUCUUCCCUCAGUGAGAUGUGCCUACUUCUCCCUGGAGACGCUCGAGGAAGCAGGAAUGCUGGAGAUGAGAGGCCUCGUCUGCUCAGGGGCUUGUUCUUCUGUCUCUUUCAGAGGCCUCGUCUGCUCAGGGGCUUGUUCUUCUGUCUCUUUGCAGGGCUGUUUUGGACUCAGUAUUCACCUAAGCACUCCAAAUUACCCAGCACACCCUUCCUGCACGGCGCUGUGCUGCACCUUCACUCUGGUCACGGGUCUGGCAGUCGGCUCACCAAUUCCUUCUGCUUUCCUGGGACUCGCCGGCUUUUAGCACUGCAAUUCACUCAGCAAACUGGGACUGUUGGUCACCCU